GGUGCGAGCGUUAAUCGGAAUACUGGGCGUAAAGCGUGCGCAGGCGGUUAUAUAAGACAGUUGCGAAAUCCCCGGGCUUAACCUGGGAAUGGCGCUUGUGACUGCACGACUGGAGUGCGGCAGAGGGGGAUGGAAUUCCGCGUGUAGCAGUGAAAUGCGUAGAUAUGCGGAGGAACACCGAUGGCGAAGGCAGUCCCCUGGGCCUGCACUGACGCUCAUGCACGAAAGCGUGGGGAGCAAACAGGAUUAGAUACCCUGGUAGUCAAGGGCG
RNAcentral lists this ribosomal RNA (271 nucleotides) under uncultured Burkholderiales bacterium. RNAcentral describes it as "partial 16S ribosomal RNA". It matches the Rfam family "Bacterial small subunit ribosomal RNA", at positions 531 to 802 of the family's 1533-position model. The record is from RNAcentral. Lineage: Bacteria; Pseudomonadati; Pseudomonadota; Betaproteobacteria; Burkholderiales.